Non-coding RNA from Cyanistes caeruleus (blue tit), 1061 nucleotides. The record is from RefSeq and is a predicted model, not a curated record. NCBI's taxonomy places the organism in Eukaryota, Metazoa, Chordata, Aves, Passeriformes, Paridae.
UUCCUUAGGUGUUUCUCUUUGUUUUCUUAAAUGCCAAUCUAUCACAACAGUCUCUCUUAAAUUAUAUUGCUGAAUACUUCUAGCUAACCAGAAUGUUCUCUGUGAAACUCUGAAGAGCCCUCCUGCAACUCAGAGUGGCUUCUGGACUCCCUUCCACAGUUCAUAUACCUUGGAGUUGAUGUUACAAUGGGUACUCAGAUGAGAACAGACCAAGAAUAUCUUUGGAAUUAUUUUUGAUGAAGCAAAGUUUUCCUGAAGUCUGUAGAGGAGCAGAAGACAGGAUUUCAUUAGGAAGGACAUGAUGUUGCAAGCUAAAAAGCUGGCUUGGUUGAUGUCAGCAGAUAGGGAUAAAGUGGCAGUAAAUGACAGCAGCCAGGGAGCGUGCUUGCAACCCAGAGAAGAAGAUCUGAAGGUGUCUACUUGACCAUCAUCCUGUUUCUGAGAAGAGCAUCUGGAACAUUGCACCUGAAUCCGGGUGGGAUACAAGGGUGAUCUGGCAGGGUACUUUUGCACUUGGGGCCUUGAAGCAGACUCAGUGAACACUGAGGAGGGGGAGGAAUGAGACUCUGUUGUCUGAUAGAAUAGCUUCAGAAAAGAAAGUACUUCUGUUUCUGCAGCUGCAAAUAACAGUACAGUGGAUCACCUUAAAAUAUGAAUAUAUAGCAAAUACAAUCACUCAUUUCUUUCCUGUGACUAAUGUCCUCUGUUCAUUGAGGUACUGAGGGGUUUUAGAAAAAUAAUUUUGCUGGUUCUGUUUAUAUUGUACAAAUUGUACCUAUUUCAGAUGGGAAUUUGACAACAGAGAUGCUGUCAGCUCCUUUAAAACCCAGGAAGAAACUGAAAGACCUGGUAUCUAACCUAAGACCUGCCCCAGAAGGAGAACUGGAUAUCUUCAGACAGAAGGAUAGUUCUCAUGACAGUAACUUCUCCUAUCUCAGGCUGAAUGAAAGUGGGAUAAGCAUCUCAUAUGUAUGCCUUUUUUUCUAAAGUUUUUCAGAUCUUGAAUUCCUAUUUGUGAUAAUUUUUUGCUUGGAGCAAAUCACUGAAUGUAUAGCAAGAAG